GGGUUACUCUUCUUGUUCUUUUUCUAACUUCUUGAGUUCAUAUUAAGUUAGUUAGCUUUUAGUCUUUCUAAGUCAAUUACUGAAUGUUUUGAACUUUUCACUUUGUGUUACUUUAUAUUUUUUAGGCUAUUUAUUAAACUAAUCCACGUUCUGAACUGCUAUUGCUACUGGAAACCAGUCCCGAUCCAGACCCCAAAAGAGGAUUCUUGGAUCUUGCACAAGAAAGAAAGUAGAGGGACCCUUAGUCAUUACCUUCAAGGAACCUAAAUCCUGGUGUCUUUAUGGUUAUGGGUGGCAUAUAAUAUACAGACACAGUGAAGGAGUGAGAUGUGAAGGUGCUCUGUCAUUGCCUCAGUCAAGGCUUUCAUGGUACACUGGAAGAAAGAGAAGUGUGAACAAAUUGCAUGAUACUUGAGGUCAUGCUGUGUACCUGUAUUGAACAAGAAUAAGGGAAGAAAGCUGGGAACCUGGAUCUCCCAUAUACUGGAAGUUUUGUAAAAACCUUGAGGGUCCCUUCCACUACAUAUGGGGAUUAUGGGAACUGCAAUUCAAGAUGAGAUUUGAGUGAGGACGUAGCCAAACCACAUGGUUUUAGAACAUUGACUGAGAGAGAAGACAACCCACUUUGCCAUAUAUGCCCAUGGUCUUACCAAGGCUAGAGUACAGUGGCACAGUCAUAGCUCACUGCAGCCUCAAACUCCCAGGCUCAGGCAAUCGAUCCGAUCCUCCCACCUCAUCCAGCCUCCCAAGUAGCUGAGACUACAGGAAGAUCUGGCAAGAGUUAGCAUGAAGUUCUACAUUGUGACAAUCCAUGAGAGCUAAAGACUGGCUGUCUCUUGGGACAAAUAGGCUUUCUUGAGUCUGGAUGUCCGCUCUGCUUGUCUUACCGCAUGAGAGAGUGCAGAUGUUCCUGAAAGCAUCUUUGCAUGGAUUUGCUUGAAGCGAGAUGCGAGAGAAGGGGCAAAGCUCGAAGGGAGCUGCUAGAGAUAGAGGAAAGCAGCUGGACAGGGCUUUCCUGAUGACUGAAAUCUUAUUGUGGAUAAUGGAGAUCAGGUCCUCUGGUGGUGGAUCUAAUGGAAGGAUCCUAGGUCUCUGAAUCACCACGUGGAAGAAAAUCAGUCACCACCCCUAGCUGGAACACCAACAUUUCAAAUAAGUGAAAAAUAAUCUCUUAUUAUGUCAAGACACUGCAAUUUUGGGGUUUGUCUUAGCGUUAGUGUCACCUACAUUUAUGCAAUAGCUGAGUAACAUUUUAGAAGAAGAGGAUGUUUGUAGCCAUUUUGGACUAAAAGAAAUGUCAAAGAUACUUUUUAUUUUCCUAAUUUUUAAUUUCUAGGUUUAUUCUUAAAAGAGUAAGAUCUUUUUUUGAAAAAUCAAUACUAUUAUUUUGACUUUUGGAUGUAGAAACAGGUCUCUACUUAACCACUAAAAAGAGCCAAGUGAGAGGAAUUUGUGGAUAAAGACAUUUAAAGGCAGUAUGAAAUCUCUAAUCACACCAAACCAACACUCAUCACCACGACAUUCUGUCAGUGCCUCCAGGGAUUAAGAACAUAUGAAUGUCUUUCUCUGAAACAUGAUUGUGACAUUGGACUUAGCUAUUUGGGUUUUCAUGAAACCCAUUGUCAGGUUAAAUAAUGAUAGAGUAGUAGAUGUUCUGCAAAUUGCUUUUGUUAUAAAACUUGAAAAAAAGUAUAUUUAUUUUUUAUGCCUUGCCUUUGAGUGCAUUAUUAUUUAUCUUUGUGCAGAGUAGAUUAAGUAGGUCCAUUGAGUAAGAAAGCAUUAAUUUGGUAGAUUCCCUGUGUUAAGGUGCUAAAGAUUUUUUAUGGAAUAAGGGUGUGAGUCUUAUCUCCUGGUCAAGGAGUAGAAACAGGUAGAAAAUAUUUAUAUUUCAGCCCUGCUUCUCCUUUGUCAUAUCCUUCACCAUAAGGAUCUACUUUCACUUCUGCCUUGGUUUUAAACAGCAGCCAGUAUAUGAAGGUCUAGCUAACUACACUAUCUCCCUAGGAGAGUUGGUACAAUGUUGUUUCCAAAAAUUAGACAAAGCAUGUUUAAUGGCUCCCUUUCACUAAGUAAAUAAAUAAAAGCAAGAAAGGGAGGAAGCAAGCUGGCUAAAGAAGAAAUGAACUAGACAUCUAUAUGUUUCAUUUUGUUAGUGAUCAAGCUAGUUUUUCAUGAUUAUUACUUUGAUACGUACAAAAUAUAUCACAACUAUUUUCCUAAGCAAUAUGAAGAGACAAAGUUAUUAUAAAAACUAAUGGAUAUAAAAAUACAUAUUGAAAUGUAUAUUUAUCUUAUGCACACCUCGAUGAAUUUUUCACAAACUGAACAGAUCUCUGAAAUUGACAACCAUAUAAAACAAACAGACAAAACAAACAAGCAAACAAACAUAACCAACACCCUAGAAACCCUCCUAUGCUCCUUUCUAAAGAUUAGUCAUUAUUUUGAUUUCUAACAGUAUAGCUCAAUUUUAUAAAUUAAUUAAGCAAAUUACUCUUUGUGUAAUUUACCUGAAUACAUUAGGUAUUCUUUUGUGCCUGACAUUUUUUGUUGAAUAUUUUGUUUGCAAGAUUUAUCCUAUUGUUGCAUAUGCUUGUAGACUGUUCAUUCUCACAGAUGUAUUAUAAAAUCUAUUGAGUAAAUAUGGCACGGUUUAUUUAUACACUCUACUGUUGGUAGACAUCUUGAUAGUUUCCAGUUUUGUUUGGAGCUAUUACAAAAGUGCUGCUAUAAACAUUCCAGUUAAGUCUUUUGGUAAACUCAAAUAUGUAUUUUUGUUGAAUAUAUAUGUAUGUAUACCUAAAGAAAGAUUCGUUGAUACUGCCAGUUUUCCAACAUGGUUGUAUCAAUCCACAGCACUACCAGUUGUGCAUAAAGAUUUGAGUUGCCUUGUAUCUUUGCCAGCACUUGGAAUUUUUUGUUUUUAUUGUUUUAGCCAGACUAGAGGUUGUUUAGUAUUUCACUGUGGUUUAAUUUGCAUUUCCUUGAUGGCUAAUGAACUUAAGAAUAUGGAAAUAUGUUUACUGGCCAUUUGAAUGUCUUUCUUUAUGAAGUACCUGUUCAAGUAUUUUACCUAUUCCUCUAUUGAGUUGCCUGCAUUUUUGCUAUUGAUUUGCAGGAGUUCUUUAUAUGUGCUAGAUAAGAGUGUUUUUGGUACUCUAUAUGUGACAUAUAUAUAUAAUUUCCCACUUUGUAGUUUGCCCUUUUAUUCUUUUAAUGUCUUUUGAUGAAUGGAUGUUUUUAGUUUAAUUAGGCAAAGCUAUAAGGUAAGAACAAUGUUAGAUUAAGCUUUAAAAGGUGAUCCAGUUCCAUGAACAGAAAGAUUGGGAUUCCCAGCACUAUUGAGCUGUUUGAAUCAAACUCCUAGAAGCCUUAAUAUAUUUUUUCAACUUUCCCUUUGUAAUGGUAGUGUUGGAUAAACAAUAGUUACCCUUAGAGUGUCACAGAAAUUACCAUCUGUUGAUUGAAACAAUGAGAAAAUAGUACCAAAAUGGUUAGAACAAUAAGAGUACUGUAUAAUAUCCAUGAAAAAUUGACACCAUCAGUGUUCUGAAAAUAAUAAAUCAGAAAAUCGAUGUUCAGUUUUUAACAGCACAGUGAGGAUGGCAGUGAAAGGUAUUAUUUUAAGAAUUUUCUCAGGCCCUGAGUUGUAAGAGUCUAUAAUCAGUGAUAUUUUUAUUUAAAGAAAAUCAGGGAAUGAGAUAGUAUUAUUUUAAUAUCUAAUAUUUAAUGCUAGAAUUAAAAAUCCAGUGUAAGAUUUAUGUUGGAAAAAGCAAAUAAGCAAACAAAGUAAAUUACAGCUCUCUGUGUAAUAACAUGAAUGAAUGGAGAUUCCUCAGCAAAUUGAAUUUACUAUGUGAAAUCUUGUGAAUAAGGCAUAUUUAAAAAAAUCUUGGCUCUAAAGUGAUUUGGUGAAAUGAUUAUUUUCCUCAUAAGACAAAAUAAAUUUCUGUCAUAUUAUUAAACAUUUCACAACCUCAAAGUGCUGUUCUAUGGUAGACCAGCUAGAAGUAAAGAUUAAAGCAGACUGUAUUUGUGGUCUGGUCAGAGUUUAAGCAGAGGACACAGUUUCUGGAAGCUUUUCCUUCAGCCUGGAUGUCAAGGGUCCUUUUGCUGCUUAGCACCUCCAGCAGCCUCCACCCAGGUUCAUCGUCUAGCUGUGUUGUCUCCACUGUUUCCUGGAGAAAGGUCCAAUUACCCGAAAUACAUUUGUGCCCUUUUUAUGUUUUCAUCAUAGUUAAUUAUAGAAAAACUUGGUUAUACGCAAAGUCCUACUAAAACAAAAGUAUCAUAGGAAAUAUUUCUAAGAAUCAUGCAAAAUCAUGAUUUUUCAUUAAGAAAUUCUAAAUUAAGAACCAUGUAAAACUGAGAGAUCGAAAUGUUACUCUGUCAGACACUGAAGAAUUUAAGAACCAUUAAUUGUUUGUAUACUAGCUCCUCGAAGGUAGGUCUGUUUUUAUUCAUCUUUAUGGCCUUCGUUGUCCCUGACAUAUUGCUGCACGUAGAGUAUAUGCACAGUGUAUACUUGUGGACUAAGUGAAUGCCAACUUUAGCUUUUGAAAAUGUAAUAUAUGAGUUUAACAGAUGUUGUCUCUUCACUUUCUAAGCACUUGGAACUUUGAAAAUGGCUCUUUCAAUAGUAAAGUUUUUUUCUCUAGAUAUGUUCUUAAAUAAAAAGUGAUGUAAAGAAAGGAAAACAAAAUUAAACCAUUAAAAUGUUUUAAAUUACUAAAACUGACUCCAGGAAUGUGUAAAGAGAUAUUGACUACCUAACAUAAUUUUUUAUGGGUUAAAUUUUCUCUAAAUGUGUUCUAUUUUAUUUUGAACUACAAAUAUUUUAAAAGUAUAAAUUGUAAGCAACUGGAAAAUUGGUUUUAGGCACAUGUGAUAUACAAUUUCACAAAUGUUCAGGAUCCUGGUGUUAUUUCUAUGACUAUGAAAUUUCAUAAACAAACUAUAUAGCC
This 4961-nucleotide non-coding RNA is filed under the name Pongo abelii (Sumatran orangutan). The record is from RNAcentral. Lineage: Eukaryota; Metazoa; Chordata; Mammalia; Primates; Hominidae.